Mugil cephalus (flathead mullet) is the source of this 200-nucleotide long non-coding RNA. RefSeq lists it as uncharacterized. The record is from RefSeq and is a predicted model, not a curated record. The transcript has 4 exons. NCBI's taxonomy places the organism in Eukaryota, Metazoa, Chordata, Actinopteri, Mugiliformes, Mugilidae.
UUACAGUUUUAUGAUUGGCAACUGUGUCUACUCUCAGAAAGCAAGAGUAGGCAAAUUCUGCGUCGGUUCCACCUGAUCAAACAGUCUGGAAGAAGUAGACACCAAGCUCUAGAAGACCUGCUUUCAACCAGCUCCACUUACAUUUAUAAUUGGAUAACAUCCCCCAAACUACAUCACCCAAGAGGCAAUUUCUUCCCUUU